AGAAUCAUUAACUCUUCUUUUCUUUAAAGCUGCAAAAACAUUUGGUUUAGUUAUAUUUUAUGAAGGAAUAAAAGUUGUACUAAUAGGUAAAGGAACCCAUCUAGAUUGUGAAUUGGUAAUUCUAUUUAUUGCCUCAUCCUCUUAUUUUCACAUUUCAGAAAUACUAUCAUUUCUCACUUUUUUACACACAAUAAUCCAUUUCCUAGUGAUUUUCAAUAAAUAAGCCCUCACUCUAUUAUAACUCCUUUGCUUUUCUUGUCCAUAAAAAUUACAUACCCAUUUACAAUUAUCCACUCCUUUGGUUUUCUCAAGUUUAGUCACAUAUCUCCA
This 330-nucleotide unclassified non-coding RNA is filed under the name Hevea brasiliensis (rubber tree). The record is from RNAcentral. Lineage: Eukaryota; Viridiplantae; Streptophyta; Magnoliopsida; Malpighiales; Euphorbiaceae.